AGAGUUUGAUCAUGGCUCAGAACGAACGCUGGCGGCAGGCCUAACACAUGCAAGUCGAACGCUCCAGCAAUGGAGAGUGGCAGACGGGUGAGUAACGCGUGGGAACCUUCCCAGUGGUACGGAAUAGCCCAGGGAAACUUGGGGUAAUACCGUAUAAGCCCCAUGGGGGAAAGAUUUAUCGCCAUUGGAUGGGCCCGCGUCGGAUUAGCUAGUUGGUGAGGUAAUGGCCUACCAAGGCGACGAUCCGUAGCUGGUCUGAGAGGAUGACCAGCCACACUGGGACUGAGACACGGCCCAGACUCCUACGGGAGGCAGCAGUGGGGAAUAUUGGACAAUGGGCGCAAGCCUGAUCCAGCCAUGCCGCGUGGGUGAAGAAGGCCUUAGGGUUGUAAACCCCUUUCAGCGGGGAAGAUAAUGACGGUACCCGCAGAAGAAGCCCCGGCUAACUCCGUGCCAGCAGCCGCGGUAAUACGGAGGGGGCUAGCGUUGUUCGGAAUUACUGGGCGUAAAGCGCGCGUAGGCGGACCUGCAAGUCAGGGGUGAAAUCCCGAGGCUCAACCUCGGAACUGCCUUUGAUACUGCGGGUCUCGAGUCCGGGAGAGGUGAGUGGAAUUCCUAGUGUAGAGGUGAAAUUCGUAGAUAUUAGGAAGAACACCAGUGGCGAAGGCGGCUCACUGGCCCGGUACUGACGCUGAGGCGCGAAAGCGUGGGGAGCAAACAGGAUUAGAUACCCUAGUAGUCC
This 742-nucleotide ribosomal RNA is filed under the name uncultured bacterium. Its description in RNAcentral is "bacterial SSU rRNA". It matches the Rfam family "Bacterial small subunit ribosomal RNA", at positions 8 to 796 of the family's 1533-position model. The record is from RNAcentral.